Molecule: transfer RNA, 69 nt
Filed under: Ictidomys tridecemlineatus (thirteen-lined ground squirrel)
Lineage: Eukaryota; Metazoa; Chordata; Mammalia; Rodentia; Sciuridae
Description: Spermophilus tridecemlineatus (thirteen-lined ground squirrel) tRNA
Rfam family: tRNA
About the family: Transfer RNA (tRNA) molecules are approximately 80 nucleotides in length. Their secondary structure includes four short double-helical elements and three loops (D, anti-codon, and T loops). Further hydrogen bonds mediate the characteristic L-shaped molecular structure. tRNAs have two regions of fundamental functional importance: the anti-codon, which is responsible for specific mRNA codon recognition, and the 3' end, to which the tRNAs corresponding amino acid is attached (by aminoacyl-tRNA synthetases). tRNAs cope with the degeneracy of the genetic code in two manners: having more than one tRNA (with a specific anti-codon) for a particular amino acid; and 'wobble' base-pairing, i.e. permitting non-standard base-pairing at the 3rd anti-codon position.
Source: Rfam by way of RNAcentral
GGGUUUGUGGCUCAGUGGUAGAGCGCUUGCCUAGCAUGCGUGAGGCACUGGGUUCAAUUUUCAGCACCA